Molecule: ribosomal RNA, 393 nt
Filed under: uncultured bacterium
Lineage: Bacteria
Description: bacterial SSU rRNA
Rfam family: Bacterial small subunit ribosomal RNA
Source: RNAcentral
GACGAACGCUGGCGGCGUGCUUAACACAUGCAAGUCGAGCGGUAAGGCCCUUUCGGGGGUACACGAGCGGCGAACGGGUGAGUAACACGUGGGUGACCUGCCUUUAGCUCUGGGAUAAGCCUGGGAAACUGGGUCUAAUACCGGAUACGACUCCGCGGUGCAUGCUGUGGGGUGGAAAGCCUUGUGCGGCUGGAGAUGGGCCCGCGGCCUAUCAGCUUGUUGGUGGGGUGAUGGCCUACCAAGGCGACGACGGGUAGCCGGCCUGAGAGGGCGACCGGCCACACUGGGACUGAGACACGGCCCAGACUCCUACGGGAGGCAGCAGUGGGGAAUCUUGCGCAAUGGGCGAAAGCCUGACGCAGCGACGCCGCGUGAGGGAUGACGGCCUCGGUU